CUGGUGCAUGUCCACUAUCCUUUGAUGAAGUGGGGAAUGAAUGAGCUUGCAAGAGAAAGUCUUGAGCAGUGUAAGAUGGUGCAUUUCUGGGGUGCAAGACUGGGGGGAUUUGCUGGUGUUUCCCUGUGUAUGGUUCACAAAUGGCUUAGACCGCAUUUAUGCAAUUUAGCUGGGUGUGUCCUUGCAUGUUGUUGACUGAGUGACCAUAGCAUCUGAAGAGGUUACCCUACUUUUCAUUAGCAAAGCAUCAUGAGAGACAGCCCAGGCUGGAGAGUUAAAGGGGCUCAGCAGUUCCACAGUUCCAGAUUGUACCCCAGGGAUCCAAUCACCCCCACCCCACAAUGAAUAAGCAGACCUAAGCACAAGUUCACUUGAUGGGGGUUGGGUGCUGGGAUCAAAAUCUUAAAAUAUUCUGGCAAAUUUUUCAGGGGGGGUUUUUGUUUUUGUUUUUUUUAACUCUAAUUUUAAAUUUUCUCCUUCAGCUGUCUGAAUUCCAAACAUGGCUGUUUCAUGCUACAGUCUGAAUGGGAAACUGACUUGUAUAAUUCCUCUUUCCUAGAUAAUCCAGGAUUUGGUAUUUGCCUGCUUACCUGAGACCAUCUCUGCUAGUCCUUGCCACCAGGAGAGAGCAGAAAACUUAGUUCCAUACCCUGCACCUCACCUCUUCGUUUGACUUCCAACUUUAUCACUCCCCACUGCCUGUGCAAGCCAAGAGCCUCAGCUCCAGGCUGGAGAAGACCGUACUGGCCAGGCCAUCACCUGAUCAUGAAAAGGGAAACAUCUCUUCCUUUUCUGGUCUUCUGUUUCCUCAGUGUUUCUCUUUGGUUAGAAAAAUUCCAAAGCCUCCAAGCACUACAGUAAAAAUGAAUAAAUACCAAC
Long non-coding RNA from Chelonia mydas (Green sea turtle), 879 nucleotides. RefSeq lists it as uncharacterized. NCBI's taxonomy places the organism in Eukaryota, Metazoa, Chordata, Testudines, Cheloniidae. The record is from RefSeq and is a predicted model, not a curated record. The transcript is spliced from 2 exons.